Molecule: long non-coding RNA, 551 nt
Filed under: Setaria viridis
Lineage: Eukaryota; Viridiplantae; Streptophyta; Magnoliopsida; Poales; Poaceae
Description: long non-coding RNA (SVIR_LNC008013)
Source: RNAcentral
UCAGCUGGUGGUGAGCACGGAGAAAUCGACGAUAACCCAUAUAGACGACCUUCUUAUAGUGCUUCAAGUACAUGCUGUCUGUGUCAUCUAAACAGUGGGUGCAUGCCCGAUAUCCCUUAUUUGUCUAUCCUGAAAGGUUACUCAAUGUAGGCCAAUCGUUGAUGGUUACGAACAACAAUGCUCGUAGAUUAAAGAUCUCUUGUCUAUCCUCAUCCCACCCACAUACACCUUCUUCAUUCUAGAGCUGUAAAAGGUCAUCAACCAACGGCCUUAGGUACACGUCAAUGUCGUUGCCAGGUUGUUUUGGGCCUUGGAUAAGUGCCGGCAUCAUAAUGAACUUCCGCUUCAUGCACAGCCAAGGAGGAAGGUUGAACAUACAAAGGGUCACAGGCCAAGUACUAUGGCCACUACUCAACUCACCGAAUGGAUUGAAUCCAUCAGUACUUAAACCAAACCUUAUGUUCCUUGCUUCACUUUGAAAGUCUGGGAAUGUUCUAUCAAUUGAUCUCCACUAUGCCCCAUCUGCGGGGUGUCUCAGCAUCUCAUCUUCC